Small nuclear RNA from Gorilla gorilla gorilla (western lowland gorilla), 123 nucleotides. The record is from Ensembl. Lineage: Eukaryota; Metazoa; Chordata; Mammalia; Primates; Hominidae.
GUAUUGUAUGCUAAGCAAGGGAGUUAGCACUUCCCUUAGGAUGGAAAAAUUUCUAUGACUUAUAAAACACACAUAUGGUUAAGGAAUUGCUACCUACUUCAUGUCUUUUAUCCAUGAUUUUUA